CCUACGGGUGGCAGCAGUCGAGAAUCAUUCACAAUGGGGGAAACCCUGAUGGUGCGACGCCGCGUGGGGGAAUGAAGGUCUUCGUAUUGUAAACCCUUGUCAUGUGGGAGCAAAUUAAAAAGAUAGUACCACAAGAGGAAGAGACGGCUAACUCUGUGCCAGCAGCCGCGGUAAUACAGAGGUCUCAAGCGUUGUUCGGAAUCACUGGGCGUAAAGCGUGCGUAGGCUGUUUCGUAAGUCGUGUGUGAAAGGCGCGGGCUCAACCCGCGGACGGCACAUGAUACUGCGGGACUAGAGUAAGGGAGGGGGAAGCGGAAUUCCCGGUGUAGCAGUGAAAUGCGUAGAUAUCGAGAGGAACACUCGUGGCGAAGGCGGGUUCCUGGACAGUAACUGACGCUGAGGCACGAAGGCCAGGGGAGCGAAAGGGAUUAGAUACCCCUGUAGUC
RNAcentral lists this ribosomal RNA (446 nucleotides) under uncultured bacterium. RNAcentral's name for it is "partial 16S ribosomal RNA". It matches the Rfam family "Bacterial small subunit ribosomal RNA", at positions 338 to 795 of the family's 1533-position model. The record is from RNAcentral.